This 1826-nucleotide long non-coding RNA is filed under the name Canis lupus familiaris (dog). RNAcentral describes it as "lncRNA (ENSCAFG00000051479.1)". Lineage: Eukaryota; Metazoa; Chordata; Mammalia; Carnivora; Canidae. The record is from RNAcentral.
CAGGAUCUCUAUCAGGAUGUGGAGAUGCUGAGAUAUUUGUCACAAUCUCUGCCCUCGGGUUGGCUCCUGGUAGAGGAAGACAACUAACUCCAAUUCUUAUGGUGUAUCUCAAAAGCAAGGUACAAUUUUUGUCAAACUCAUGGGGAGAUUAAGUACUUAAAUGCAUUCCUUCACAGAGUCUGAGCAGGUGCUAUGAAAUGUCAAAGGCUUCUCCAAAAUUAAAACAACCCAGCCAGUGUUGAAAAUUUCCAGAAAGUUUCCAGGACAUUCCCUCCUGAAGUGGGAUCAUUGCAAUUAUAUGUAGAUGUAGAAAUAGGCACUAAUAGCAUGCAUAUACGUGCUAACAUAGAAUAAUCAAAUUCAACAAAUACAUGUUGACUUAUAUCCAUAAAUACAUAAAAUGAAUAACCUGAGAAGAAUUGCUAGAAUGGAUCAAUAUCUAUUUCCAUAAAAUUUUCUUCUUGGGCAAGAAUGUAUUACAUCUGCAGGUGAGAAUUUCCAUAAUGAUUCAGGUGUAUGAAUAUCUGGCUAAAUGUGUGGCUGCGUUUUUGUUGUUCUGCUUUGAUAAACCAUCACCAAACUUCUAAAUGAGCAGCCGUCUUACUCACUAAUUGAAUAUUUUAACUUUUUUUCCUCUGUAGAGCUGGUGUGUCAUUAUAUUUUCCAUUUUGUGCCUUGCUUUUCAUGCAUUUAAAGUGCUGGAGCAGCUGUUUAUUUGGAAAGUUUCCAUUAUGGCCAUAAUAAUCUCCAACUAAUUGCACAUCAAAUAUUUAUUUCUUGCACAUUAAAUUAAUGAAGCAGUUUCAACAAGAGAAAAAUUGGAUCAGGUUGGCAAACAGUGCCUAUAAAUUCAUGAAAGAUUCCCAGUUCUUUUUUGGCAAGACUUCUUUAAUACAGAUUAACAAUUUUUAAAUGGAAAAUUUUUCCAUUAUCUUGUUGUGACUUUUAAAAAUAGGCAAGCUUUCUUUAUUAAAGUGCUUUUCUCAAUUUUUCUUGAUAUAUUAUUGCUUUCAGAAAUGAAAAGAAAAAACAUGAGUUUCCUCCCAUUGAUUCUCACAUCAGUUAUUUGGUAUCUUCUUAGCCUUGAAUGUAACAUGAUUUUUUUUUUCUAUUUCUACUUUUGAUACUGUACAUGGUUUUAGUGGCUGGACUUCUACUUCUUAUUUUUUCAGCUUUAUUGAGGUAUAGCUGACAUACUAAAAAUGGUACUAAUUUUUUAAUGUGUUACGACAUGAUGAGCCUGGAUACAUGCACACAUCUACAGAUCCGACCAACACGGUCAGGACCAUGCACAUCUCCAACACGUCCUGAAGUGUGCCCUUUUGUUCCUUGUAUUGUUUUUGUUUGUUUGUUUUGUGGUAAGAACACCUUAUGUGAUAUUUACUGUCUUAACAGAAUCCGAAGUGCCCUUAUAACAUAUUGUUAACUCUUGGCACUAUGUUGCACAGCUGGUCUCUGGAACUUAAUCAUCUUCUGUAACUGAAAUUUUAUACUCGUUGAAGCAAAACUCUCCAUUUCCCCCUCCACUCAGCUCCUGGCAACCACCACUGUAUUCCCUGCUCCUAUGAGUCUGAUGAUUUAAGUAGCAUCAUGCAAUAUUCUGCAUGACUUAAAUAGACUCAUGCAGUAUUCUAUCCUGGCUUAUUUCUUCUGUAACUGAUGUAUUUCUCUUGCAAAGACAUUUUUGAUGAAUACAUACGAAUGGCCAAACAGGUAUGUGAAAAGAUGCUCAACACCAAUAAUUAUCACGGGAAUGCAGAUUAAAACUACAGUGAGAUAUCACCUCACACAUGUUAAGUUGGCAAUUACUUAAAAAAAAAAAAAAA